GGGCUGUGAUGACAAAAGGAUAUUUGGUUGACACUGAUUCUUCAUGUCAUUUAAGGACCAAAUUGUGAUGACCUUAUUUGUGCGUGUCUAAGCCGA
Molecule: small nucleolar RNA, 96 nt
Organism: Phragmites australis (common reed)
Lineage: Eukaryota; Viridiplantae; Streptophyta; Magnoliopsida; Poales; Poaceae
Product: small nucleolar RNA snoR126
Exons: 1
Source: RefSeq, a predicted model, not a curated record